Molecule: long non-coding RNA, 784 nt
Filed under: Pan troglodytes (chimpanzee)
Lineage: Eukaryota; Metazoa; Chordata; Mammalia; Primates; Hominidae
Description: long non-coding RNA NONPTRT010738
Source: RNAcentral
GGGAGAGCUGUCCGUAUGCUGGUGGGGUGCAGAACUUGAUGGUGUGGAAGAGGGAGGACAACGCUGAGGUGUGCUCACUGGUGUUCCAGAGGUGGGGGGCCCGGGCACGAGGGAGGACAGAUAGCACUACUCGCUCGCCCACCCACACAGGAAGGCAGAAUUAACACUGAGUGGAUUGAAGAUGACAGCUCCCGAUCUUACUGCUCUCAUUCCCCACCAAAUCAGAGAUGGAGGGGAAGAAGCCCUCACCACCCUCGAUCCCUGCCACUUGCCUUAGUCCUGUGAAGGAGUCACAGCCUUAAGAGUGCUCUGGUGACUGUUUUGAUCGACCAGAUUUGAUAGAUCACAAGAAUGCCAUUAUGGAUGACGGUUUUUUUCCUAUGUAUUGGACAUAAUAGAAAUGAAGUUAAAACCAAAAGCUUGAGUCUCUAAGGCAGCAUUCCCAAAACGGUCUGCCCUUACCUAUUUUGAAAGAGUCACAUGACUUCAUCCGGGACCUGAAAUGGAUUUUCUCCAUCUUAAAAUCUCACGGCCUACGAAUGACAUUAUUCACUGAACACUCAUCCAAAGUGGCAGCAGCACGGAAUGGAGGAGGGUCACUGCUCCCUAACAAAUCACAUCGUCAAGCAGCACAACACACAUCCUGUAUGUUUAAGUCAUGACAACUAUAUGACCCUCUCGCUGACUAAUGAUCAACAAAUGAGCCUCCAAAGGCCAUUAUCGAAACUCUUAUGCUCAUAUUCUAGCCCAAAAUGCACAUUUGGGGAUGGGGAAAGUGGUCUCA